RNAcentral lists this ribosomal RNA (468 nucleotides) under uncultured bacterium. RNAcentral describes it as "partial 16S ribosomal RNA". It matches the Rfam family "Bacterial small subunit ribosomal RNA", at positions 28 to 507 of the family's 1533-position model. The record is from RNAcentral.
GACGAACGCUGGCGGCGUGCUUAACACAUGCAAGUCGAACGGAAAGGCCCUGCUUUUGUGGGGUGCUCGAGUGGCGAACGGGUGAGUAACACGUGAGUAACCUGCCCUUGACUUUGGGAUAACUUCAGGAAACUGGGGCUAAUACCGGAUAGGAGCCCCUGCUGCAUGGUGGGGGUUGGAAAGUUUCGGCGGUUGGGGAUGGACUCGCGGCUUAUCAGCUUGUUGGUGGGGUAGUGGCUUACCAAGGCUUUGACGGGUAGCCGGCCUGAGAGGGUGACCGGCCACAUUGGGACUGAGAUACGGCCCAGACUCCUACGGGAGGCAGCAGUGGGGAAUAUUGCACAAUGGGCGGAAGCCUGAUGCAGCAACGCCGCGUGCGGGAUGACGGCCUUCGGGUUGUAAACCGCGUUCGCCUGUGACGAAGCGUGAGUGACGGUAAUGGGUAAAGAAGCACCGGCUAACUACGUG